RNAcentral lists this ribosomal RNA (466 nucleotides) under uncultured bacterium. RNAcentral's name for it is "partial 16S ribosomal RNA". It matches the Rfam family "Bacterial small subunit ribosomal RNA", at positions 28 to 507 of the family's 1533-position model. The record is from RNAcentral.
GAUGAACGCUGGCGGCGUGCUUAACACAUGCAAGUCGAACGGAAAGGCCCAAGCUUGCUUGGGUACUCGAGUGGCGAACGGGUGAGUAACACGUGGGUGAUCUGCCCUGCACUUCGGGAUAAGCCUGGGAAACUGGGUCUAAUACCGGAUAGGACCACAUUUUGGAGGGGGUGGUGGAAAGUUUUUCGGUGUGGGAUGAGCUCGCGGCCUAUCAGCUUGUUGGUGGGGUAAUGGCCUACCAAGGCGUCGACGGGUAGCCGGCCUGGGAGGGUGUACGGCCACAUUGGGACUGAGAUACGGCCCAGACUCCUACGGGAGGCAGCAGUGGGGAAUAUUGCACAAUGGGCGCAAGCCUGAUGCAGCGACGCCGCGUGGGGGAUGACGGCCUUCGGGUUGUAAACUCCUUUCGCUAGGGACGAAGCGUUAUGUGACGGUACCUGGAGAAGAGGCACCGGCUAACUACGUG